GAUGAACGCUGGCGGCGUGCCUAAUACAUGCAAGUCGAGCGAACGGACGAGAAGCUUGCUUCUCUGAUGUUAGCGGCGGACGGGUGAGUAACACGUGGAUAACCUACCUAUAAGACUGGGAUAACUUCGGGAAACCGGAGCUAAUACCGGAUAAUAUUUUGAACCGCAUGGUUCAAAAGUGAAAGACGGUCUUGCUGUCACUUAUAGAUGGAUCCGCGCUGCAUUAGCUAGUUGGUAAGGUAACGGCUUACCAAGGCAACGAUGCAUAGCCGACCUGAGAGGGUGAUCGGCCACCCUGGAACUGAGACACGGUCCAGACUCCUACGGGAGGCAGCAGUAGGGAAUCUUCCGCAAUGGGCGAAAGCCUGACGGAGCAACGCCGCGUGAGUGAUGAAGGUCUUCGGAUCGUAAAACUCUGUUAUUAGGGGAGAACAUAUGUGUAAGUAACUGUGCACAUCUUGACGGUACCUAAUCAGAAAGCCACGGCUAACUACGUG
Molecule: ribosomal RNA, 497 nt
Filed under: uncultured bacterium
Lineage: Bacteria
Description: partial 16S ribosomal RNA
Rfam family: Bacterial small subunit ribosomal RNA
Source: RNAcentral